UGGGGAAUAUUGCGCAAUGGGGGAAACCCUGACGCAGCAACGCCGCGUGAAGGAUGAAGGUUUUCGGAUUGUAAACUUCUUUGAUGAGGGACGAACACAAUGACGGUACCUCAAAAACAAGCCACGGCUAACUACGUGCCAGCAGCCGCGGUAAUACGUAGGGAGCAAGCGUUGUCCGGAUUUACUGGGUGUAAAGGGUGCGUAGGCGGCUUUUUAAGUCAGAUGUGAAAUCUAUGGGCUCAACCCAUAAACUGCAUUUGAAACUAGAGAGCUUGAGUGAAGUAGAGGCAGGCGGAAUUCCCUGUGUAGCGGUGAAAUGCGUAGAGAUAGGGAGGAACACCAGUGGCGAAGGCGGCCUGCUGGGCUUUAACUGACGCUGAGGCACGAAAGCGUGGGUAGCAAACAGG
RNAcentral lists this ribosomal RNA (407 nucleotides) under uncultured prokaryote. Its description in RNAcentral is "bacterial SSU rRNA". It matches the Rfam family "Bacterial small subunit ribosomal RNA", at positions 355 to 776 of the family's 1533-position model. The record is from RNAcentral. RNAcentral also lists the same sequence under 1 other name.